Molecule: ribosomal RNA, 497 nt
Filed under: uncultured bacterium
Lineage: Bacteria
Description: partial 16S ribosomal RNA
Rfam family: Bacterial small subunit ribosomal RNA
Source: RNAcentral
GACGAACGCUGGCGGCGUGCCUAAUACAUGCAAGUUGAGCGAUGAAGAUUGGUGCUUGCACCAAUUUGAAGAGCAGCGAACGGGUGAGUAACGCGUGGGGAAUCUGCCUUUGAGCGGGGGACAACAUUUGGAAACGAAUGCUAAUACCGCAUAAUAACUUUAAACAUAAAUUUUAAGUUUGAAAGAUGCAAUUGCAUCACUCAAAGAUGAUCCCGCGUUGUAUUAGCUAGUUGGUGAGGUAAAGGCUCACCAAGGCGAUGAUACAUAGCCGACCUGAGAGGGUGAUCGGCCACAUUGGGACUGAGACACGGCCCAAACUCCUACGGGAGGCAGCAGUAGGGAAUCUUCGGCAAUGGACGAAAGUCUGACCGAGCAACGCCGCGUGAGUGAAGAAGGGUUUCGGAUCGUAAAACUCUGUUGGUAGAGAAGAACGUUGGUGAGAGUGGAAAGCUCAUCAAGUGACGGUAACUACCCAGAAAGGGACGGCUAACUACGUG